Molecule: ribosomal RNA, 2824 nt
Filed under: Pseudomonas peradeniyensis
Lineage: Bacteria; Pseudomonadati; Pseudomonadota; Gammaproteobacteria; Pseudomonadales; Pseudomonadaceae
Description: 23S ribosomal RNA
Rfam family: Bacterial large subunit ribosomal RNA
Source: RNAcentral
GGUCAAGUGAAGAAGGGCAUACGGUGGAUGCCUUGGCAGUCAGAGGCGAUGAAAGACGUGGUAGCCUAUGAUAAGUUUCAGAGCUGGCAACAGAUCCGUAUCCAGAGACUUCGAAAUUGGGAACCUAGCCAGUAUAAGCUGGUUAUCUUGUACUGAAUAUAGGUGCAAGAGGCGAACCAGGUGAACUGAAACAUCUAAGUACCCGAGGAAAGAAAUCAAACUGAGAUUCCCUUAGUAGUGGCGAGCGAACGGGGACCAGCCCUUGCUGGUUUGAGAUUAUGAACGCUCUGAAAGUGCACAUAGGCAUAGCCCCGUACACGAAAAUCUCUUGCCAGUGAAAUCGAGUAGGACGGAGCACGAGAAACUUGUCUGAACAUGGGGGACCAUCCUCCAAGGCUAAAUACUACUGACUGACCGAUAGAAGUGAACCAGUACCGUGAGGGAAAGGCGAAAAGAACCCGGAGAGGGGAGGAAUAGAACCUGAAACCGUAUGCGUACAAGCAGUGGGAGCUCACUUGUUAGGUGACUGCGUACCUUGUAUAAUGGGUCAGCGACUUCUAUAUUCAGUGGCGAGCUUAACCGAAUAGGGAUGUAGCGAAAGCGAGUCUUAUUAGGGCGCUUUAGUCGCUGGGUAUAGACCGAAACCAACAUUCAUCCAUGGGCAGGUUGAAGGUUAGGUAACACUGACUGGAGGACCGAACCGACUAAUGUUGAAAAAGGCGGAUGACCUGUGGAUCGGAGGAAAGGUUAAUCAAGCUCGAGAUAGCUGGUUCUCCUCGAAAGUUAUUUAGGUAGCGCCUCAUGUAUCACUGUAGGGGUAGAGCACUGUUUCGGCUAGGGUCAUCCCGACUUACCAAACUGAUGCAAAACCUUUAAAUACCUACAAGUGCUAAGUAUGGGAGACAUACGGCGGGUGCCAACGUCCGUCGUGAAAAGGGAACAAACUCCAGACCGUCAGCUAAGGUCCCAAAGUCAUGGUUAAGGGGAACGAUGUGGGAAGGCUUAGACACAGCUAGGAGGUUACUUAGAAGCAGCCAAAUUCCUUAAAGAAAGCGUAAUAGCUCACUAGUCGAGUCGGCCUGCGCGAAGUAUGCACGGGGCUCAAAAACCAUGCACCGAAGCUACGGGUAUCACCUCUGCAUGCGGUAGAGGAGCGUUCUGUGCUCGUGAAGGGUGAGUUGAGAAGCUUGCUGGAGGCAUCAGAAGUGGCGAAUGCCAUUACGAGUAACGACAAUGCGAGUGAAAAACCCCGCACGCCGAAAGACUGCUUCGCGCAACGUUAAUCGACGCAGUGCACGGUCCCUAAGGCGAGGCUGAAAAGGUAGUUUACGGAAACAGGUUAAUAUUCCUGUACUUCCAGUUAUUGCGAUGGAGGGAUUUUAUAAUGGCCAGGCCAGCUUGGCGUUGGUUGUCCAAGUUUAAGGUGGUAGGCUGAGAUCUGUGGCAAAUCCGGGAUCUUAAGGCCGAGAGCUGAUGACGAGCGUUUUAGAGCGCGAAGUGUUGAUGCCAUGCUUCCAAGAAAGCUCCUGCUUCAGAUGUGGGAACUGGGAACCUACCCCAAACCGACACAGGUUAGGUAGAGAAUACCAAGGCUUGAGAGAACUCGGUGAAGGAACUAGGCAAAAUGGCACCGUAACUUCGGGAGAAGGUGCGCCGGUGAGGGUGAAGCACUUGCUGCGUGCCCACGCCGGUCGAAGAUACCACAGGCCGCUGCGACUGUUUAUUAAAAACACAGCACUCUGCAAACACGAAAGUGGACGUAUAGGUGUGACGCCUGCCCGGUGCCGGAAGGUUAAUUGAUGGGGUUAGCGCAAGCGAAGGCUCUUGAUCGAAGCCCUGGUAAACGGCGGCCGUAACUAUAACGGUCCUAAGGUAGCGAAAUUCCUGUCGGGCAAGUUCCGACCCGCACGAAUGGCGUAACGAUGGCGGCGCUGUCUCCACCUCGAGACUCAGUGAAAUUGAAACGCUGUGAAGAUGCAGUGUAUCCGCGGCUAGACGGAAAGACCCCGUGAACCUUACUAUAGCUUUGCACUGACUUUGAGCUUGCUUGUGUAGGAUAGGUGGGAGGCUGAAGUGGGACGCCAGUUCUCAUGGAGCUAUCCUUGAAAUACCACCCUGGCAACCUUGAGGUUCUAACUCAGGUCCGUUAAUCCUGAUCGAGGACAGUGUAUGGUAGCUGACUGGGGCGGUCUCCCAAAGAGUAACGGAGGAGUACGAAGGUGCGCUCCAGACCGGUCGGAAAUCGGUCAGAGUAUAAAGGCAAAAGCGCGCUUGACUGCGAGACACAGUCGAGCAGGUACGAAAGUAGGUCUUAGUGAUCCGGGUGGUUCUGUAUGGAAGGGGCCAUCGCUCAACGGAUAAAGGUACCCGGGGAUAACAGGCCGAUACCGCCCAAGAGUUCAUAUCGACGGCGGUGUUUGGCACUGAUGUCGGCUCAUCACAUCCUGGGGCUGAAGCCGGUCCCAAGGGUAUGGCUGUUCGCCAUUUAAAGUGGUACGCGAGCUGGGUUUAGAAACGUCGAGACAGUUCGGUCCCUAUCUGCCGUGGACGUUUGAGAUUUGAGAGGGGCUGCUCCUAGUACGAGAGUGACCGGAGGGACGAACCUCUGGUGUUCCGGUUGUCACGCCAUGGCAUUGCCGGUAGCUAUGUUCGGAAAGAGAUAACCGCUGAAAGCAUCUAAGGGAAACUUGCCUCAAGAUGAGAUCUCCACACUGAGCCUUGAGCUCCCUGAAGGGCCGUCGAAGACUACGACGUUGAUAGGUUGCGUGUAAGCGCUGUGAGGCGUUGAGCUAACCAAUACUAAUUGCCCGUGAGGCUUGACCAU